Molecule: long non-coding RNA, 2284 nt
Organism: Daphnia magna
Lineage: Eukaryota; Metazoa; Arthropoda; Branchiopoda; Diplostraca; Daphniidae
Exons: 6
Source: RefSeq, a predicted model, not a curated record
UGUAGCCUGGUUGUUAGGGGUUCGACGUUCGAGACGUGUUCUGCUGGCCCCCCCAGCAGAUAAAUGAUAAACAUAUAUCAGCCCCGGCUGAUAAAUGUUCAGUGCGUUUUUAAAUAGUUAACAGGUACCAUAAUUUAAUACCUAAUGAAUGACAGAUCCUUUCAGUCUUGAUGGUGAAAGCAAGAUGGUGUUGGGAACACAGUGACUCAGAGUUGUUUACCUUUUGAGAACAUUCUGUGUCAGCUUCAAUUCACCCAAGUAAUCAAUAAUCACUUUUGUGUCUUCCCUAAAGCAAACGAUUCUAGCAGCUGCUUGCUUCAUUUGAAUCCAGUUGACAGUCACAUUUACCAGCUGUUCCUAGUUUAAUGGGUGGAUACUGUGUAGUAUGAGUAACAGUUAGCUUCAUCUGAUUUAAGUGAAAGAAAUAUUAAGGGAAAAACGACUCUUUGGAAACAACCAUGUACCAAUCCUUUACUCAAAAAAAAAAAAAAAAAAGAAGAGCUUAUCAUGGUGCUGUAAUAGUAUGUUUGCAGAAUUGCGAAAUUGCUUGCCUGAAGAAUGUGCUCAGCAUUGAAAAAUGUGCGCAGCAAAAACGGUUGGUCGCAAUUCUAAACGUCAAAUGUACAGAUUUCCCGGUUGGAUGAGCGAGUAUUGAAGGAGAUGGAAAAAUAUUCGUUGUAAUUCACGGAAGAAGAAUACAUCCUCGACGUCACUUCUGUGCUGCAGAAAAAUCAGCAAAUCUACAUCCUGAUUUUCUGCCGUUCCGUCAGUCACUCCAAUGCUUUCGACAAUAGGACAACAGCAGCAUUCUUCAAUCAGACUGCUCCUGAUUGUCUUGAAGAUGAAUUGCUCUUCAUGCUCGGUGAGAAAUUUCACAGGACUGCUUUGAAAAUUGGUAUCACCUUAACGAAGCAGAUUUAGAUAACAUGUCAACUGUGAAAUCGAUCAUGUGUCUGUUACCAAAAAUGGCUCUCUCCGUUCGCGACAUCAGACCUCCCCAGACCUCUCCAGUGUGUCAUUCUGAUGCAAAGCUCCUGAAAUGGAGUGGAACGUUUUGAACCAUCUCAGGCUAAAGUUCAAGUUCUAGAGGUAUUAGGAAAGUGGUUGCUUUUUGGUUAGAUUUUCUUCACCGUCAGAUGCAUCCAUCGGAAUGUUGUUCACUUCCUCGUCAUCAUUGCUCACAAAACUUUUAUGCAUUGUUCUUGUCUCAAAGUUAUAUCGACUCGCAAACGACAAAUCCUUGGCACGAAGAACGGAAAUUUAAUGCAUUAGCAAGUCAUCUGCAUCUAAACAGAUCAAACGCACGAGAUAUCCCGCCUCGUCCGGCAACUUACCAUCCAGCAACGCAUCCAUCAACAGAGUGUUAAAGAGGAAACUAAUUGACUACAUGCCGACUAGACGAUUUCCAUGCAAGACGAAUGUUAAAAUCCAAAGAGGUGAGCAGGAUGCAGCGAACUAUGUCAUGUCAAACCAUUAGCUGAAUAUGAAUACUAUCAGUUCUCCAGAACGAGAGGUCUACAUAGGUUAAUAAUCAUACUGAAUCAAAAGAGGUACAUACUUGAACGAGAUUUUAAAAUAAUAACGGCUGGAAUUCCAUGUGGAAAUUUCGAAGAACGCUACCUGCACGUUACCUUUAGUCGAUGAUUCAUCUCGAAGAUAAAAUAUGAAAAUUUUUAUAAAUUUUAGUGCAUAUCUGGGCUCCCUUCUUUUCUGUGGCCCCGUUUCCCCUUGACUUGUGAUAAGCCCGUAGCGGGUCAUGCCGUUACUGUGAUCAGCAGCAAAGGUUGUGAGUGCGCUGUCCGGAAAGGGGACGUGGGGGUCCUCAAGUUCUAUGAUAUCAUUGGAGGGCGAAGAGGCUACCCACAAAUCCGAAUUAACGGUUAAUCGCUCACGUAAAAACUUGUCCGAAACCUUCCAUCCUCUUCCGGCUUCUCUUAGCCACCCACCGGGUAAUCUCCCCGGUGAAUCAACUGAGGUAGUGGAUCUCACUACCUUGGUUGACGCAAAAAGUUAUAUAUCACUACAGAAUUGUUCAAACAAAUUUUAAAUUUUUUUUUACUUUUGUGAUAUGUUAGUUAGCAUUUCUUCUUGUGCAAUGCACUUGUUCUAUUACGGUUUAUCUGAACAAGGUCUGUGUCCUCUUGAAACUUCGUUCAAAUACGUGAAUUUACAUGUUUACCCAUACAGACUAAGUCAUAUGAUUUUAACCUCUUCCACAACUUUCUUUUGACUUAAUUUGUUCAUGUAAACACUGUUUGAAAGUAUCAUAUUGGCGUUCGAUUAA